RNAcentral lists this ribosomal RNA (105 nucleotides) under Pteropus alecto (black flying fox). Lineage: Eukaryota; Metazoa; Chordata; Mammalia; Chiroptera; Pteropodidae. The record is from RNAcentral.
GUCUACGGCCAGGUCACCCUGAACAAGCCUGAUGUCUGAUCUCAAAAGCUAAGCAGGGUCGGGCCUAGAUGGGAGACCACCUAGGAAGACCGGGUGCUGUAGGCA